RNAcentral lists this long non-coding RNA (537 nucleotides) under Bos indicus x Bos taurus (hybrid cattle). RNAcentral's name for it is "lncRNA (ENSBIXG00005011241.1)". The record is from RNAcentral. Lineage: Eukaryota; Metazoa; Chordata; Mammalia; Artiodactyla; Bovidae.
UGUGAAGUUGCAUGAAGUUUAUAAAUGUUGACUCUUCAGGGAAGCCAUUUCAGCUUUGCCUCGGGUAAUUUGUCUUUCUUUUUUUCCCUCUCAGUAGAGAUGCUGGUGUCCCACAUCCUGUUGGUCUCGUCUCUCCGGGACUGUGGCCCUCCAGGAGAAAUUCCCUUCUGAAGGAGAAGCAACAGCCUAGAGGACCUCUUAGAAAGGACCGCAUCAUCAGCUAAGGAGGAAAAGUAACAAAGAACUUGAAGACUUUCAUGGCUCCCAGGCCCUGGAUGGAGGCAGACGGCAUCAGGCAGCUUCAGACAGAGAAUGGUGGAAGCUGAGGGGCAGCUAGGAUGCGCCUGGGGCUGCAAAGCCCAGGCUCUCCAAAGUAUCUUUUCUUUCUAUCGACAAAACAGGAAGAUAAUGGAAAUGGGAUCCACUCCAUUCAUCAUGUGCUUCAUUUUGUUCCUCUUCUCUGCUUUCAUUGAUCGACUUUCUCCUCCUAUCACUGCUUUCCCUGCACGGGUUCAGAAUUUCACCUCUGCUUUGUAA